Molecule: long non-coding RNA, 697 nt
Filed under: Pan paniscus (pygmy chimpanzee)
Lineage: Eukaryota; Metazoa; Chordata; Mammalia; Primates; Hominidae
Description: lncRNA (ENSPPAG00000044517.1)
Source: RNAcentral
AAAAAAGGCAAGCAUUCAACCCUUGAUUCAUCAAAAGUGCAAACUAAAUUUUAUCUGUGGAAAACACACAUGUACAUACUUAGAGAAAACUCUUAAGAUUAAAGGUUAAGAGCACACUUUUAGUAUGAAGAGAGUCUCUGAAAGUAUAGGUUUCUCAAAUAAAGUAAGUGAUUAUAUGUGAUGAAGUUGGUCACCAAUCAAGCCCUUCUGAGAUGGCAUGGGUCCCUAGCCAGCUUGGAAUUAUCCAGUUGGAAUUAUGCGGAGGGUGGGGAAGUUAAACUGCUAUGACGAGGGGACCCCAAAAUGCAAUGGCUCAUUUUCUCUUCAGGGUGAAUUGUUGAACUCUGCUCCCUGUGGUUGUUCAGGCCAGCUGGAGAACACCUUAGAGGCUGUCUGGCAUCUUAGAGGCUGGCUGUGGUGCUCGGGAGGGACAUCUCUUGUCUUAAGGGCACAGAAGACAUGCAUAACUUCCACUCACAUUCCACCAUCAAGAACUCAGCCACACGGCCACCCAGUCUCCAGGCAGUCCCAUGCUCGGCUAGCUCUCCUAUCACGGAAGAGCUUCUCUCGCAUCUUGGACUCUCAGGCUGCAGAUCCAUCACAAUGCCAUAGAACACAGAUGACACUUUCCCCUGCUUUUGAGACCCGUUGUUCCCAUGGUGUAGAUACAUGUAAGAGGGAGUGCCAUAGAAAAUGA